RNAcentral lists this non-coding RNA (118 nucleotides) under human gut metagenome. RNAcentral describes it as "yjdF RNA". It matches the Rfam family "azaaromatic riboswitch aptamer (yjdF RNA)", at positions 5 to 92 of the family's 101-position model. The record is from RNAcentral.
GCAGAGAUAAAAACACUGUCCGGUUGGUAGUCCGGACACAGUAAUUUUCUGAGUUUGAAAGAACAACUCAUAUUUUACUGUCAGUAACCUGCCUCCUUGGUUGUCCCUUCUCUGUCAG